This is a non-coding RNA of Malus domestica (apple), 2267 nucleotides long. The record is from RefSeq and is a predicted model, not a curated record. NCBI's taxonomy places the organism in Eukaryota, Viridiplantae, Streptophyta, Magnoliopsida, Rosales, Rosaceae.
GCACUCAGUCUCUAUACCCCCUUUUUCUCUGCUUGACUCCUGCUUUCCCCGUCUCCCUCCUCGCCUCACUCUUCUUUGCACCAAGCAGCUCGAUUUAGGGCUUCACCAUUUCUCUUCGAAUCAAGGUCUCUAUUUCUCUCCCUAUUUUCCCAAUCUAGGUUUCCCUCUCUCUCUGUGGAAAAACCCUAGAUCUCGCCACUGCCGCAGAGUCCAAGCUCAGCCUUUUCGAGCUUCAAUCUACCGUGCCGAUCAUCUCCUCGCGGUGCUUCCACCUAUACCCCUCUGCAAGCAAGCAAAAUUUGCUUCUUGAGCAGUAUGUUCAGGGGACAUGCAUCGUAUUUUUCAUGUAAAAUCAAGACAAAAAUGGAUUUUCUAUCACAUUGGACUUAAAAAAGUAAAUUAGGUCAAACCAAUACCAGCUAAGCGUACAUGCUUGCUUCCUCUUCGUGUUCUCCCACAAUUUGUGCCCUUACUUCUCAAUUGGAUUCACAGUAAAACCCCAAAAACUUGAGGUACGAAAAUUUCAAUUUUUUUAUUGUUUGUGUUUUUGAUUUAUUUUUAGUGUUAAUUUCUGAUUAAAUUAUUAUUUUUGAUAAACCCAUUUAGAAUCUGAUCUGGGUUUUACCCGGAUAAAACCUUGACAGUUUGAAACUUUAAGGAAUAAAAAUUUCAAUUUUUUUUGUUUAUAUUUAAUAGUAUUCUGGGUUUUGCAGAAAUGCUAUUCUUGCUGAAGACCUGCCCUGUAAGUGAUUUAAUUUUUUCUUUUCGAAUUUCUACUUCUCAUGGAUAAUUAUGAAUAUGUAGAUGAUUUGUGGAUAAUUUUUUUUACUUAAUCUCCAAUUCAAAGUGAAGGAUAUUGAAUUUUGUUAUCAUUUUAGUUAAAAUGUGUUACUGUUUUAGUUAAAUUUAAUCCCUAAUUGAACUGACUAAUUUUUAGUGCAGUUUGGGCAUGAUCUUUCCUCAGAUCAUCGUCACUUCUAUUAAACUCAGUUAGGUUCUAUAACACCAGUAUAUGAGUUGUUAUUUCGGAUUUGUAAUUUGAACGAAACCCUAAUGGUUUGGUUUUGCGGAGAGUUGUGGCAGUUUGUCGAGGCUUUACCAGCUAAAGUGGAUUUUGCAUUUGGUUCCCUCUGGUGACAAAUCUGAGAUUUCACAGGAGAUGGAAGGCUGCUGGUUGUUUGGGUAUGCUCUCCCUGCUUCCACUUCUUGCUUAUUGUGUAUGUAUUUCUUAUUUGAAUAAGUGGGUUUGUGCUUUUGUUUUUUAAGUUUCAUUUGUGUGAUUUUAUUUCAAUCGAUAUUAUCUUUGAGAAGGCAGGAUGCUUUGACCAAUUAUUUCUUGCUUUUGAGUGAUUUCAUUUAGAUGGAUUCCUUAAAAAUUGAGAAGGCAGAUGAGCUUUCAUCAUUUGUUUAUUGGAAAUUGAUAAUAUAUGCAUUUCUUAUGUGAAUAAGUGGGUUUGUGUUUUCCUUUUUUCCUGAUUAACUUCUUAGCUUUUCAAAAUUAAUAUACUUUACUGCCCACACAUGUUUUUCAGCUAACCUGCUCAAUUAGUUUCGACUAUAGUUUGCUUUGUGCUGGAUGUUAAAGGUUUCUCUUCAAUGAUUAUAUAUAGCUUCAGUAGUGGGUUUCUUUGUGCUGGAUGUUAAAGGUUUCUCUUCAAUGAUUAUAUAUAGCUUCAGUAGUGGGUUUCUUUGGUUCAUGUCGUACAUGGUGAUUAACCAUGUUUUUCAAGGUGGCUCACCUUCUUUAAUUGCAGGUUCGACAGAAAGUUGAAGAACACAUAUGAUCACCUACUUUUUACGAGGUCUUGCUCAUACUUAAUUGUUUAUUUUAGCAUAGAUUUAACUAUAACUCCUUACUUUUAGGGUAUGUGUAUGUGUAUAUAUAUGUAUGUGUGUGUAUAUAUGGGUUGCACAGAUGCUCAGAUAUGCCACCCAAACCUAAGCAUGAGAACACUUUGCUGUUCAUUUUUUGGGGCUUUUGUCUGCAGCUUUCGAAGCCCUUUAUGCUCAAGCAGGAACCGCAAUGCAGAUGGGGAACACAUAUAAAUUCAGCGUUAUUCUAGCCAAAAACCUUUAUUCUCACAACAUUGGGUACGAUUGUUAAAAGUUCCAGUUCAUUGUACCUAAAUUGAAACAAUUUACUAUUAACACUAACUUUUUUAUAUUUUAAACAAGAUAUUUCAUGAAUUUUGUAAUCCCGCAGCAAUGUACGGGUGGUACUUUCUAGUAACACCUAAACUUAUUAAUUAAAAAGAAAUUACAAAAAA